Molecule: transfer RNA, 89 nt
Filed under: Faecalibacterium prausnitzii
Lineage: Bacteria; Bacillati; Bacillota; Clostridia; Eubacteriales; Oscillospiraceae
Also listed under: 11 other names
Description: tRNA-Ser(cga)
Rfam family: tRNA
About the family: Transfer RNA (tRNA) molecules are approximately 80 nucleotides in length.
Source: RNAcentral
GGAAGCGUAUCGAAGUGGUUGUAACGAGCUGCACUCGAAAUGCAGUUGUCCGCAAGGGCACGUGGGUUCGAAUCCCACCGCUUCCGCCA